GCUGGGUGCGGUGGCAUAUACCUGUUAUCCCAGCAUCUCGGGAGGCUGAGGUAGGAGGAUCAUGAGUUCAAAGCCAGCCUCAGCAACAGCGAGGUGCUAAGCAACUUAGUGAGACCCUGUCUCUA
This 125-nucleotide small RNA is filed under the name Marmota monax (woodchuck). The record is from RNAcentral. Lineage: Eukaryota; Metazoa; Chordata; Mammalia; Rodentia; Sciuridae.